UGUGGGAGCGAGCUCGCUCGCGAUAGCAUUGGAUCAGUCAGCCGUGAUUUAGCUGACCCACCGCAAUCGCGAGCGAGCUCGCUCCCACA
This 89-nucleotide unclassified non-coding RNA is filed under the name Pseudomonas sp. NFACC08-1. Lineage: Bacteria; Pseudomonadati; Pseudomonadota; Gammaproteobacteria; Pseudomonadales; Pseudomonadaceae. The record is from RNAcentral.